AUACGGAAGGUCCGGGCGUUAUCCGGAUUUAUUGGGUUUAAAGGGAGCGCAGGCGGCACUUCAAGCGUGACGUUAAAUUUCGGGGCUCACCCCCGUUUUGCGUCGCGAACUGUUGUGCUUGAGUAGGCGGCAGGGAGGCGGAAUUCGCGGUGUAGCGGUGAAAUGCUUAGAUAUCGCGAGGAACUCCGAUAGCGCAGGCAGCCUCCCGUUGCUUUACUGACGCUCAUGCUCGAAGGUGCGGGUAUCGAACAGGAUUAGAUGCCCUGGUAGUCCGCACUGUAAACGAUGGAUGCCCGCUGUUGGGCCUUUUGGGUUCAGUGGCCAAGAGAAAUCUUUAAGCAUCCCACCUGGGGAGUACGCCGGCAACGGUGAAACUCAAAGGAAUUGACGGGG
Molecule: ribosomal RNA, 393 nt
Filed under: uncultured bacterium
Lineage: Bacteria
Description: partial 16S ribosomal RNA
Rfam family: Bacterial small subunit ribosomal RNA
Source: RNAcentral